UCGAAGGUAGCAUAAUCAGUAGUCUUUUAAUUGAAGGCUGGUAUGAAUGGUUGGACGAGAAAUUAACUGUUUCAUAAAAAUUUAUAGUAGAAUUUUAUUUUUUAGUCAAAAAGCUAAAAUUUAUUUAAAAGACGAGAAGACCCUAUAAAUCUUUAUAUAAGUUUUAUUGUAAUUUUUUAGAUUCAUUUUGUUAUAAUAAAUUAUUAUAUUUUAUUGGGGUGAUAUUAAAAUUUAAUAAACUUUUAAUUUUUAUAAUCAUUAAUAUAUGAAUAAAUGAUCCGUUAAUAACGAUUAAAAAAUUAAGUUACUUUAGGGAUAACAGCGUAAUUUUUUUGGAGAGUUCAUAUCGAUAAAAAAGAUUGCGACCUCGAUGUUGGAUUAA
Molecule: ribosomal RNA, 382 nt
Filed under: Stevenia deceptoria
Lineage: Eukaryota; Metazoa; Arthropoda; Insecta; Diptera; Rhinophoridae
Description: partial 16S ribosomal RNA
Source: RNAcentral